GUGCGGCCGGGGACGCGUGGACGGCUCGAUGCGACGCAUCUUGGUGGGUAGCGACGGCCAUGAUGGCGCGCCCCGUCCCGUCUGUCUCGUUUGCCUUGGCGCUCCAGCCUCCAGGUAUGCCGCGCCCUCGGCGUGGCGGUGGGGCCCGCUGGCCUGUUCGCGUCGGCCUUUUGGGUACAAGGAGCCGAGCACCAAUGCACACGGCACGAUUCACACACGCACACAAAAAAAAAAAAACAAUGCACACGGCACAAGUUGCGCAGAUAUCUAAGUGCCAACACGGCAAAGUUUAGUUAGUGCUGUUUGCAUCCCAAUUCAAGUUUUUCUUCGCA
Molecule: long non-coding RNA, 332 nt
Filed under: Sorghum bicolor (sorghum)
Lineage: Eukaryota; Viridiplantae; Streptophyta; Magnoliopsida; Poales; Poaceae
Description: long non-coding RNA (SBIC_LNC004211)
Source: RNAcentral